UUGUGGAGGAGGACGCCGAAGGUGGGGCUAAUGACUGGGGUGAAGUCGUAACAAGGUAGCCGUACCGGAAGGUGCGGCUGGAUCACCUCCUAACAGGGAGACAACAAAAUGUUAAAUAUUGAUUUUGUCACCUUAGGUCGAUCGGUAUCUCACAUUCUUAAUUAUUUAAGGAUUUUAUUUCCUAAGUUUUUUCUAGGUCACACCCAUUACUUUUCCUGGGCCAUUAGCUCAGGUGGUUAGAGCGCACCCCUGAUAAGGGUGAGGUCCCUGGUUCAAGUCCAGGAUGGCCCAUAUCUCUAUGUUGGGGGUAUAGCUCAGUUGGUAGAGCGCCUGCUUUGCAAGCAGGAUGUCAGCGGUUCGAGUCCGCUUACCUCCACUGAUCACCACCUCUUCAUAAUUUAUAGAAGGGAAUUGUUUUGAGUUGUGAUCAAAUUCUGAACGAAUCUAGCUUCCUAAUAAACCUUAUUAAGAUGCUGGAUUCAUUGAAUUAAUUUCAUUGUUUUCAGAGAACCUUGACAACUGCAUAGAUUAUUUUUAAAGACAAUAAGCAUCUUUAAUGAUGCAGAUUUAUUAUUUGUGCGAAUGCAUUAAAUAACAAUUCUAUUAAGCUGAUGCUUCAAUUUUGAAGUUAUUGGUCAAGCUACAA
Molecule: unclassified non-coding RNA, 646 nt
Filed under: uncultured Prochlorococcus sp.
Lineage: Bacteria; Bacillati; Cyanobacteriota; Cyanophyceae; Synechococcales; Prochlorococcaceae
Description: partial 16S-23S ribosomal RNA intergenic spacer; may also contain 16S ribosomal RNA and 23S ribosomal RNA
Rfam family: tRNA (bases 304-376)
Source: RNAcentral